This 253-nucleotide ribosomal RNA is filed under the name uncultured prokaryote. Its description in RNAcentral is "partial 16S ribosomal RNA". It matches the Rfam family "Bacterial small subunit ribosomal RNA", at positions 524 to 776 of the family's 1533-position model. The record is from RNAcentral.
UACAGAGGUGGCAAGCGUUGUUCGGAAUUACUGGGCGUAAAGGGCGCGUAGGCGGCUUGGUCAGUCCCGUGUGAAAUCCCUCGGCUCAACUGAGGAACUGCACGGGAAACUGCCUGGCUUGAGUUCGGGAGAGGGAAGCGGAAUUCCGGGUGUAGCGGUGAAAUGCGUAGAUAUCAAGAGGAACACCUGAGGUGAAGACGGGUUGCUGGGCUGACACUGACGCUGAGGCGCGAAAGCCAGGGGAGCAAACGGG